This 432-nucleotide ribosomal RNA is filed under the name uncultured bacterium. RNAcentral's name for it is "partial 16S ribosomal RNA". It matches the Rfam family "Bacterial small subunit ribosomal RNA", at positions 29 to 506 of the family's 1533-position model. The record is from RNAcentral.
AACGAACGCUGGCGGCAUGCCUAACGCAUGCAAGUCGAACGAGACCUUCGGGUCUAGUGGCGCACGGGUGCGUAACGCGUGGGAACCUGCCCUUAGGUUCGGAAUAACUCCCCGAAAGGGGUGCUAAUACCGGAUAAUGUCUUCGGACCAAAGAUUUAUCGCCUUUGGAUGGGCCCGCGUUGGAUUAGCUAGUUGGUAGGGUAAAAGCCUACCAAGGCGACGAUCCAUAGCUGGUCUGAGAGGAUGAUCAGCCACACUGGGACUGAGACACGGCCCAGACUCCUACGGGAGGCAGCAGUGGGGAAUAUUGGACAAUGGGCGAAAGCCUGAUCCAGCAAUGCCGCGUGAGUGAUGAAGGCCUUAGGGUUGUAAAGCUCUUUUACCCGGGAUGAUAAGGACAGUACCGGGAGAAUAAGCUCCGGCUAACUCCGU